Molecule: ribosomal RNA, 1372 nt
Filed under: uncultured bacterium
Lineage: Bacteria
Description: bacterial SSU rRNA
Rfam family: Bacterial small subunit ribosomal RNA
Source: RNAcentral
GAUGAACGCUGGCGGCGUGCCUAAUACAUGCAAGUCGAGCGAACGGACGAGAAGCUUGCUUCUCUGAUGUUAGCGGCGGACGGGUGAGUAACACGUGGAUAACCUACCUAUAAGACUGGGAUAACUUCGGGAAACCGUAGCUAAUACCGGAUAAUAUUUUGAACCGCAUGGUUCAAAAGUGAAAGACGGUCUUGCUGUCACUUAUAGAUGGAUCCGCGCUGCAUUAGCUAGUUGGUAAGGUAACGGCUUACCAAGGCAACGAUGCAUAGCCGACCUGAGAGGGUGAUCGGCCACACUGGAACUGAGACACGGUCCAGACUCCUACGGGAGGCAGCAGUAGGGAAUCUUCCGCAAUGGGCGAAAGCCUGACGGAGCAACGCCGCGUGAGUGAUGAAGGUCUUCGGAUCGUAAAACUCUGUUAUUAGGGAAGAACAUAUGUGUAAGUAACUGUGCACAUCUUGACGGUACCUAAUCAGAAAGCCACGGCUAACUACGUGCCAGCAGCCGCGGUAAUACGUAGGUGGCAAGCGUUAUCCGGAAUUAUUGGGCGUAAAACGCGCGUAGGCGGUUUUUUAAGUCUGAUGUGAAAGCCCACGGCUCAACCGUGGAGGGUCAUUGGAAACUGGAAAACUUGAGUGCAGAAGAGGAAAGUGGAAUUCCAUGUGUAGCGGUGAAAUGCGCAGAGAUAUGGAGGAACACCAGUGGCGAAGGCGACUUUCUGGUCUGUAACUGACGCUGAUGUGCGAAAGCGUGGGGAUCAAACAGGAUUAGAUACCCUGGUAGUCCACGCCGUAAACGAUGAGUGCUAAGUGUUAGGGGGUUUCCGCCCCUUAGUGCUGCAGCUAACGCAUUAAGCACUCCGCCUGGGGAGUACGACCGCAAGGUUGAAACUCAAAGGAAUUGACGGGGACCCGCACAAGCGGUGGAGCAUGUGGUUUAAUUCGAAGCAACGCGAAGAACCUUACCAAAUCUUGACAUCCUUUGACAACUCUAGAGAUAGAGCCUUCCCCUUCGGGGGACAAAGUGACAGGUGGUGCAUGGUUGUCGUCAGCUCGUGUCGUGAGAUGUUGGGUUAAGUCCCGCAACGAGCGCAACCCUUAAGCUUAGUUGCCAUCAUUAAGUUGGGCACUCUAAGUUGACUGCCGGUGACAAACCGGAGGAAGGUGGGGAUGACGUCAAAUCAUCAUGCCCCUUAUGAUUUGGGCUACACACGUGCUACAAUGGACAAUACAAAGGGCAGCGAAACCGCGAGGUCAAGCAAAUCCCAUAAAGUUGUUCUCAGUUCGGAUUGUAGUCUGCAACUCGACUACAUGAAGCUGGAAUCGCUAGUAAUCGUAGAUCAGCAUGCUACGGUGAAUACGUUCCCGGGUCU